UUCUUCCCUCCCAUCCCCUCCUGUUCCCCGUUUCUCGCUCACUCUGUCUUCCUGUCCUUUCAAUGUCUUCCUCCCUUUCUUUUCUUUUUCUGCCUGCCUGCCUUUCUGUCUCUCUCUCUCCCUUGUUUUUGCCUCUACUUGUCUGUUUUUCUUUCCCUUCUCCUCUCUUUCUGUCUCUGUCCCUCCCUCCCUCCCUCUUUUCCUUCUCUCCUUUCUCCUCCCACACCCUGGGGCGGGGGAUGGAGGUGGGGGCUGUACUUGUGCUCUGAGCCUGCCCGCUGGCUGUGGGGACCUGACCUUUUCUGCACUGAGGGGAAGGAAUGGGGUAAUUAGCUUAUAUAAUCCCCGGCCUGCCUGCUGUUUGCUGUGGAUGUGGACAAACUCCAUGAAAAUGUGGACUUCUGGGCUGCUGCUGUGGGAUCCCUUCAGAGGGCUCGAGAUGGUUCAUUUUGACCGAGGCCCGUCUGGUGGUUCGUUGCUGUGAUGUAUUUCGGCAUCAUCGACGCAGGUUCACCAGCCUCAUCUCGACCUUGGAAAUGUUGCGGUAUUUUACAGUGUGUGGUGACAUUUAUGGGCCCAUUUGGACACCCACAAAGAGGUUGAUUUCCAUAGAUUAAAUGUCAAGUUUGAAGCCAUCCAGGGUUCAGCUGUCCACACGGUGGCAUGGCUUUCUCAGCUCCACUCUGAUCAUUUCCACCAGAAAGA
RNAcentral lists this long non-coding RNA (705 nucleotides) under Homo sapiens (human). RNAcentral describes it as "HSALNT0402060". Lineage: Eukaryota; Metazoa; Chordata; Mammalia; Primates; Hominidae. The record is from RNAcentral.